Molecule: non-coding RNA, 226 nt
Organism: Pelobates cultripes (western spadefoot toad)
Lineage: Eukaryota; Metazoa; Chordata; Amphibia; Anura; Pelobatidae
Source: the annotation of a GenBank genome assembly
GUGAGGGAAUGACUGGUGACAGAGGGGGUGACUAGUGACCGAGUGAGGGAGGGAGUGGGUGACUAGUGACAGAGUGAGGAAGGGGGUGACACAGUGAUAGUCACCCCAUUCCUCCCUCUGUCACUAAUCACCACCUCCCUCACUCUCACUAGUCACCCCUUCCCUCCCUCACUCUGUCACUAGUCACACCCUCCCUCUCUCUGUCACUAGUCACACCCUUACUCAC